Molecule: unclassified non-coding RNA, 562 nt
Filed under: Hevea brasiliensis (rubber tree)
Lineage: Eukaryota; Viridiplantae; Streptophyta; Magnoliopsida; Malpighiales; Euphorbiaceae
Source: RNAcentral
GGUUAGAAGAGAAUUAAGUGGAGAAUCUGUUAAACCAAUUUGAUCUACUUUAUGCAAGAUCCUUUUUGUUAAACGGAUAGAACUGCCCAAUACUUUUUGGUUCUGCUGCAGAAUCUUCUAUUGCUACAGCUUUUCUGGAGGGGCUUUUUCCAUGUAAGUCGAUGCCCUAUAAAACAAUGUUGCUACAAAUUUUGGCAGAGAAGAUAUUAUCAUUUGCCAGUCAAUGGUCCAAUAUGUAAAAGGAUUGGUGUGUUACAACAGCACUGAAGGCGAUAUGGAGAGCCUUUUUAUUUAGUUUUCUUGUAUAGGACGUCCUACACUUUCUUAGUUUUGGAGUACCUAGCAUCAAUCAACCACAAUUAUUAGUUUUUCUUUUGUUUUUUGGGCUACGCUUGAGUUGCUUAUGUAGAUAAGGAGAAGCAAAGAGAUGCACCUUUGCCUAUAGGAAAAUGCAUAUUGGCAUUUUUUUUUUCCUGUAUUAAGAUUUCUCCUUUAUAUAGGUUUAGCUUAUAAAUGUGUAGAUUUUUCCUCUGCUGUCUAUUAAAGUAAAAAAAAAUUGUUU